UGAGAGGAAACCACUAUUUGUUUUGCCACCCAGGGUGAAAAAGGAAGAGAUCAAACCCUCUUCACUGGCCUAGGAGCAACCAGGAACACUUGAAAUAAGAAGGAAGAGGCUAGAAGAUUUGUUGCAGGUACCCACCAGCCUCCUCCUUGACGGUCUCGGGCUCCACUUGGACCUCGCUGCUGGCCGGCAAGGAGAUCUCCUCGACCUGUGCAUCCAGAGUAGACUGGGCAGCUCGCCGGCGGGCGCUUCCCCGGCUAGUCACUUUCCGCUUUUUGUCAGCUUUGCUGGACAUCACGCUGCCACAGGCAUUGAUCGUUAUGAGUCUCAGACUUGAAGGAUUUGUACUUUGCUCCAAGGAAAAUCGUUCUAUUAGGCCAACACAUCAACUGAAC
Bubalus bubalis (water buffalo) is the source of this 392-nucleotide long non-coding RNA. RefSeq lists it as uncharacterized. The transcript has 3 exons. The record is from RefSeq and is a predicted model, not a curated record. Lineage: Eukaryota; Metazoa; Chordata; Mammalia; Artiodactyla; Bovidae.